GGGGUUGUGGCUCAGCGGUAGAGUGCUUGCCUAGCACAUGCAAGGCCCUGGGUUCGGUCCUCAGCACCACA
Molecule: transfer RNA, 71 nt
Filed under: Marmota monax (woodchuck)
Lineage: Eukaryota; Metazoa; Chordata; Mammalia; Rodentia; Sciuridae
Description: tRNA.Ala
Source: RNAcentral